This 631-nucleotide long non-coding RNA is filed under the name Citrus sinensis (sweet orange). Its description in RNAcentral is "long non-coding RNA (CSIN_LNC005740)". The record is from RNAcentral. Lineage: Eukaryota; Viridiplantae; Streptophyta; Magnoliopsida; Sapindales; Rutaceae.
GGGUCGGCCCAUAAGGGGUAAAGUACUGGCAAAAGUGGUGACUCCAUAUGAGAGCAGGGCUUGAACUCCUGACCUCUCUUAAGGAGUGAGAGUGGCGAACCACUCACACCAACUAACUUUUGGUUCUAUUACUUCCCUUUUGACAAACCAUAGAAUCACACCUACAAUCAACAAUCACCCACGCACUCUUACUUUCCUUUUGACAAACCACAUACGACGGAUGAGCCCAUAGAAGACGGAUCACCACCAUCACGUGAUCGAGGGAGCAGAACUCACGCGGUGGUGCGUCCAAACUCUGACGAAAUCGACGGCGACGGGGGUGGUUGGAGCCAUGGUUCUUUCGAGCUAAAUCGCUGGCGUUCCUGGUGGUUUUCGGCGGCAAGGAUGGCAGGGAAACGACGAUCGGCUUCCAAGCUUCAGAUCAAUACCUUGAUUGGCCGAUAGAGUGGCCGGGAUCGUGAAAUAUAACCGGGUCACUUUCGUGGGUCGGGUUCGCGGGUCAAAUCGGGUCAACCUCUCUCCCUCCUCAUCUCCUCAUCCACUCACAAAGAGCCACACCACGGCUCCCCUUAGCCAGGUUGUUGCUGUUGGAAUUUUUUUUGUUGAAAGUGUUACUGGUGCUGGAAUUGAU